CAACUUUCAACAACGGAUCUCUUGGCUCUCGCAUCGAUGAAGAACGCAGCGAAAUGCGAUAAGUAAUGUGAAUUGCAGAAUUCAGUGAAUCAUCGAAUCUUUGAACGCACCUUGCGCUCUUUGGUAUUCCGAAGAGCAUGCCUGUUUGAGUGUCAAUU
Molecule: ribosomal RNA, 158 nt
Filed under: Gerhardtia highlandensis
Lineage: Eukaryota; Fungi; Basidiomycota; Agaricomycetes; Agaricales; Lyophyllaceae
Description: 5.8S ribosomal RNA
Rfam family: 5.8S ribosomal RNA
About the family: 5.8S ribosomal RNA (5.8S rRNA) is a component of the large subunit of the eukaryotic ribosome. It is transcribed by RNA polymerase I as part of the 45S precursor that also contains 18S and 28S rRNA. Functionally, it is thought that 5.8S rRNA may be involved in ribosome translocation.
Source: RNAcentral